RNAcentral lists this long non-coding RNA (215 nucleotides) under Linum usitatissimum (flax). Its description in RNAcentral is "long non-coding RNA (LUSI_LNC000202)". The record is from RNAcentral. Lineage: Eukaryota; Viridiplantae; Streptophyta; Magnoliopsida; Malpighiales; Linaceae.
AUUUUGUGGUCUUUUAGGGUUUCUGCAUGGAGGCGAGGACUUUGAGGAUACUAUUUCAGAACUUUGAUAUGUGUGGCUUUACUUUGCUUCUCACUUGUUGAGUAUAUUAUUCAUACAGUUUGUGUCUCUCUGCUUUUCUCUGAUGCUUAGUGCUUCAUGUAACAAUUGCUCUUCUCUCCACCUUCCAGGCACCCAAAGAACAUUAAUGUUGUAGA